This 425-nucleotide ribosomal RNA is filed under the name uncultured bacterium. RNAcentral describes it as "partial 16S ribosomal RNA". It matches the Rfam family "Bacterial small subunit ribosomal RNA", at positions 354 to 796 of the family's 1533-position model. The record is from RNAcentral.
GUGGGGAAUAUUGCACAAUGGGGGAAACCCUGAUGCAGCAACGCCGCGUGAGUGAUGAAGGCCUUCGGGUUGUAAAGCUCUGUCUUCAGGGACGAUAAUGACGGUACCUGAGGAGGAAGCCACGGCUAACUACGUGCCAGCAGCCGCGGUAAUACGUAGGUGGCAAGCGUUGUCCGGAUUUACUGGGCAUAAAGGGAGCGUAGGUGGAUAUUUAAGUGGGAUGUGAAAUCCCCGGGCUUAACCUGGGGGCUGCAUUCCAAACUGGAUGUCUAGAGUGCAGGAGAGGAGAGUGGAAUUCCUAGUGUAGCGGUGAAAUGCGUAGAGAUUAGGAAGAACACCAGUGGCGAAGGCGACUCUCUGGACUGUAACUGACACUGAGGCUCGAAAGCGUGGGGAGCAAACAGGAUUAGAAACCCCAGUAGUCC